RNAcentral lists this ribosomal RNA (253 nucleotides) under uncultured bacterium. RNAcentral describes it as "partial 16S ribosomal RNA". It matches the Rfam family "Bacterial small subunit ribosomal RNA", at positions 524 to 776 of the family's 1533-position model. The record is from RNAcentral.
UACGUAGGGGGCUAGCGUUGUCCGGAAUCAUUGGGCGUAAAGCGCGUGUAGGCGGCCCGGUAAGUCCGCUGUGAAAGUCGGGGGCUCAACCCUCGAAAGCCGGUGGAUACUGUCGGGCUAGAGUGCGGGAGAGGCGAGUGGAAUUCCUGGUGUAGCGGUGAAAUGCGCAGAUAUCAGGUGGAACACCGAUUGCGAAGGCAGCUCGCUGGAACGUAACUGACGCUGAGACGCGAAAGCGUGGGGAGCAAACAGG